GAUGAACGCUGGCGGCGUGCCUAAUACAUGCAAGUCGAGCGAACAGACGAGGAGCUUGCUCCCCUGACGUUAGCGGCGGACGGGUGAGUAACACGUGGAUAACCUACCUAUAAGACUGGGAUAACUUCGGGAAACCGGAGCUAAUACCGGAUAAUAUAUUGAACCGCAUGGUUCAAUAGUGAAAGACGGUUUUGCUGUCACUUAUAGAUGGAUCCGCGCCGCAUUAGCUAGUUGGUAAGGUAACGGCUUACCAAGGCAACGAUGCGUAGCCGACCUGAGAGGGUGAUCGGCCACACUGGAACUGAGACACGGUCCAGACUCCUACGGGAGGCAGCAGUAGGGAAUCUUCCGCAAUGGGCGAAAGCCUGACGGAGCAACGCCGCGUGAGUGAUGAAGGCCUUCGGAUCGUAAAACUCUGUUAUUAGGGAAGAACAAAUGUGUAAGUAACUAUGCACGUCUUGACGGUACCUAAUCAGAAAGCCACGGCUAACUACGUG
RNAcentral lists this ribosomal RNA (497 nucleotides) under uncultured bacterium. RNAcentral's name for it is "partial 16S ribosomal RNA". It matches the Rfam family "Bacterial small subunit ribosomal RNA", at positions 28 to 507 of the family's 1533-position model. The record is from RNAcentral.